Molecule: long non-coding RNA, 366 nt
Organism: Apis dorsata (giant honeybee)
Lineage: Eukaryota; Metazoa; Arthropoda; Insecta; Hymenoptera; Apidae
Exons: 2
Source: RefSeq, a predicted model, not a curated record
UUUUAUAUGUUGCAGAAAGUUUUUCCAGUUUUUGAUAACAAUGAUGCAAAUAGACGGUAGUCUAAAUAUCACGAACGUACCGAUUUAGAAAAAUUAGAUAAGAGUUACGAAUGUUAUCGAUGAUGAAAAGAAGUAGAUUGAGUAAAGUAGAAAUAAGUGGAUUACUCGGGAAAUUGCAUUGAUAAGAUUAAAAGUUUUUUUUCUAUGUUUUCUCAUCGUCCAUUUGUGCGACUGACAUUAACUUAAUAUUCCCCAUUCAGGGUAUAUUAACCCCUUUCGAAUAAUUUUUCAUUCGAGAGAAACUCGGACGAUAUAUAUAUAUAUAUCCCAUAAUCUUUCAUUUUCGAUUUUCAUUAUUGUCUAAAU